AACGCACAUUGCGCCCUUUGGUAUUCCGAGGGGCAUGCCUGUUCGAGCGUCAUUACACCAAUCACGCCUGGCGUGGUAUUGGGCGACGGGAUUGCUUCAGUGUCUCCCGCGCCCCAAAGACCUUACCGGCGGGACGGACCGAAUCUCAGCGUUGUGAAUCUUUACGAGUCGCUGGCGAGACGGGACGGCCGUGCCGUGAAACCCCCCAUUUUCUCAUGGUUGACCUCGGAUCAGGUAGGGAUACCCGCUGAACUUAA
Molecule: unclassified non-coding RNA, 257 nt
Filed under: uncultured fungus
Lineage: Eukaryota; Fungi
Description: partial contains 5.8S ribosomal RNA, internal transcribed spacer 2, and large subunit ribosomal RNA
Source: RNAcentral